This 497-nucleotide ribosomal RNA is filed under the name uncultured bacterium. RNAcentral describes it as "partial 16S ribosomal RNA". It matches the Rfam family "Bacterial small subunit ribosomal RNA", at positions 28 to 507 of the family's 1533-position model. The record is from RNAcentral.
GAUGAACGCUGGCGGCGUGCCUAAUACAUGCAAGUCGAGCGAACAGACGAGGUGCUUGCUCCUCUGACGUUAGCGGCGGACGGGUGAGUAACACGUGGAUAACCUACCUAUAAGACUGGGAUAACUUCGGGAAACCGGAGCUAAUACCGGAUAAUAUAUUGAACCGCAUGGUUCAAUAGUGAAAGACGGUUUUGCUGUCACUUAUAGAUGGAUCCGCGCCGCAUUAGCUAGUUGGUAAGGUAACGGCUUACCAAGGCAACGAUGCGUAGCCGACCUGAGAGGGUGAUCGGCCACACUGGAACUGAGACACGGUCCAGACUCCUACGGGAGGCAGCAGUAGGGAAUCUUCCGCAAUGGGCGAAAGCCUGACGGAGCAACGCCGCGUGAGUGAUGAAGGUCUUCGGAUCGUAAAACUCUGUUAUUAGGGAAGAACAAAUGUGUAAGUAACUAUGCACGUCUUGACGGUACCUAAUCAGAAAGCCACGGCUAACUACGUG